Molecule: long non-coding RNA, 117 nt
Organism: Etheostoma spectabile (orangethroat darter)
Lineage: Eukaryota; Metazoa; Chordata; Actinopteri; Perciformes; Percidae
Exons: 4
Source: RefSeq, a predicted model, not a curated record
UUGUAUUUCACAAUGCGUUAGCUCACGAGAUAUUGUGGCCAAAUCUGGUUGAUUUACCUGAAAGAGUUAACGCCCAGAGUCAGCUGAUUCGGAUUGGAGAGAGAGAGAGAGAGAGAG